RNAcentral lists this ribosomal RNA (595 nucleotides) under uncultured cyanobacterium. Its description in RNAcentral is "bacterial SSU rRNA". It matches the Rfam family "Bacterial small subunit ribosomal RNA", at positions 92 to 701 of the family's 1533-position model. The record is from RNAcentral. Lineage: Bacteria; Bacillati; Cyanobacteriota.
UUAGUGGCGGACGGGUGAGUAACGCGUAAGAAUCUAGCUCCAGGCUCGGGACAACAGAGGGAAACUUCUGCUAAUACCGGAUGUGCCCAACGGUGAAAGAUUUAUCACCUGGAGAUGAGCUUGCGUCUGAUUAGCUAGAUGGUGGGGUAAAAGCCUACCAUGGCGACAAUCAGUAACUGGUCUGAGAGGAUGACCAGUCACACUGGCACUGAGACACUGGCCAGACACCUACGGGUGGCUGCAGUCGAGAAUCUUCGGCAAUGGACGCAAGUCUGACCGAGCGACGCCGCGUGCGGGAUGAAGGCCUUCGGGUUGUAAACCGCUGUCGUAGGGAAUCAAAUGCAUGAGGGUACUCCCUUAUGUUUGAGAGAUCCUAGGAGGAAGGGGAGGCUAAGCUCGUGCCAGCAGCCGCGGUAAGACGAGCUCCCCAAACGUUAUUCGGUAUUACUGGGCUUAAAGAGUUCGUAGGCGGCUCUGUAGGUGAGAUGUGAAAGCCCUCGGCUUAACCGAGGAACUGCGUUUCAAACCACAGGGCUUGAGGGAGAUAGGGGUAAGCGGAACAGAUGGUGGAGCGGUGAAAUGCAUUGAUAUCAUC